CAUUAAGUUAUUGCAAAAGGUUUUCAGUUCAUUUAUUAUCAGAGUAUCCCAAAAACAUCAACAUAAAAUUGAGGAGCGAUACGAUCACGCCUUCGCCUUGCCACGGUCUCCUGAAGUACCUGAAACAAUACAUUGAAACUGUAAGCCCGAAAGCUUAGUGAGGUACCCCCAAAAUACCAACCACAAUACUAUACACAUAUCAUAUCAUAUCAUAAACUGAACAACCAUGCAUAUCGAGUCUACAGUGUGACUGGUCCGCCUGCACCAGGCCUUCAGUCCACCCGGUCCACUCUUUCUCCAAGUCUAUAGUAUGAUUGGUCCGCCCGCACCGGGCCUUCAGUCCACCUGGUCCACUCUCUGAGUCUACAGUAUGACUGGUCCACCCGCACCGGGCCUUCAGUCUAUCUAGUCCACUCUCCGAGCCUCGGCACGUCUGGUCCGCCCUCUUGGGGCCUUCAGCCUAUCCGGACCACUCGCCGGGCCUUCGGUCUAACCGGUCCGCCCUGGGUAUUUUGGCCUACAGCACAAAGCAUGACCCGCCUCAACCCAACCCCAGUCUAACAACCAUGUGCACAUAAACAUAUAAUCAUAUUGCAAUUCAUAACUAAUCAACUGAUCUAGCAGAUCACAUAACAUAGCAACCUCCUAACCAGGACACCGACGUAACCGGUCACUAACAUAGCAACAUCCUAUAUACCAGGAUACCGACCUUAACCAGGUCUAUAACAUAGCAUCAUCCUAUAUACCAGGAUGCAGAAAUAGCAAAGAAAUAACACAACAAACAACUACCCGGAUUCCCAUUCGAUAAAGGGCCGACCUUGGUGCCUUAGACCCUGUUGAUAUAGUGAGGAUAACUCACCUGCAACUGCCGACUUGAAGAAAUAAGAUCACGCUGCUCCGACCACUAGUACGAGCUCCACCACUAAACAUUACCAAUUAACCAAAACCAAUAAGCACCAAAAUACCCUUGGAAGUCAAACUGGUCAACCCUUGGUCCAAGUCAAAGUCCUUAGUCAAAGUCAACCUUCUUGGUUGACCCUACUCGCCCAGUCAACUCGUUGAAUCGUCGAGUUCCUAUGCUCAGAAACUCCCCAUUCCACGACUCUACUCGCCGAGUCACCCCAAGACUCGUCGAGUCCAACGAUCUUCGAGUCUCAUCCUGCUCAACACACCGAGUUCCCCCUCAACUCACCGAGACACGGCUUANUUCCACGACCAGACUCGCCGAGUCCAAGAACAGACUCUUUGAGUCGAAGGCAAUCUUCAACAGACUCCCCGAGUUGUUCUUCCAACUCGCCAAGUCCACACGGGACUAAUCGAACCAAACCAUACCUGACUCGCCGAGUCCACACGGGUUAUUCUAUAAUCUGAAAAUAUAGAGCUUCUCCUAUGCUCCAAACAAUAGAUCAGGGUUCGCAUGGUUCAUUAGCAACAGAAAUUUUCUACCUUUACGUGCUUCCAUGACCCAUUCACCAAAAACCAAGCUAAAAUGGAACUUAACUCAUUAGGGCUGGCUUUUGCAUAGCUAAACAAAGGGCUUUCUUCACAUAGAAUCCAUAUAGAACUCAGAUCUGGAGUUUCAACUCCAGAUCUAGCUCAUGCAUCAAGAUCUCAUUAUAAAUUCCUCCAAAUAAACCCUAAAGCUCCAUGAAAGGUGGAUCUAGAAGAAAUAAAGCCAAGAUGAUGAAUCCUUACCUCAAAACAACCUCCAACUGAAGAGUAAACCAAAUCUCCUCAAGCCUCCUUGAUCCAAGCUUUUUAAUCUUCAAUACUUCCUUUCUAAAUCCACUUAUCAAGCUCCAAAAUGCUCUCAAGGUCUCACUUAUGAUUUUAGGGCUGCUGAUUCUCAGGGGAGUAAUAAGGGUCCGAAAUGGGGGCUUAAGGCUCCUUAAAUAAGGUGCAAACCCUAGGAAUUAGGGUUUCUCAUUCCAGCACGGACUCGUCGAGUCUAGCCUCCGACUCGGCGACUCCGAUCACUUAACACGUGUCCAAUACACGCUUAGACUUGACGAGUUGCAGCUCCUACUCGCCGAGUUCCUAUUUUCCAAACUUACACUUUGCCCCCUGAACUCUUGAUUAUGACUUGGGAUGUUACAAUUCUCCCCCAUUUAAAUUAGGCUUCGUCCUCGAUGCCUGCUACAGCACACAAUUCCAGAUACCACCCCCGCAAUGCACCUCCUGGUCUCAACCGACCCAGGUUCCUCCAAACACUGCCAUCAAAUCCCUAUAAAGUCCAACUCUUUCUCACAGAGUCACAACAAUUGCUUCAAGCCGACCACCGACUUCUUUCUCUAACAACCAUACUUAUCAACCAAUGAUCACCCGCUGAUACUUCCAUUAUUCCAAACCACACAAUCACUUGUCUCUUGCAAAACUAGAUAUCACCAUGAACCACCGUGUCCUGGCCCGGUACCAACUGCUAUCCCUUUACUUGCUUGCCAUAACUUAUCGAAUUUACUGCUGGGACUUAUCCCGCUUCUUUUCCGAAUCUAACUCUUUUCCUUCCGUGAUGACAGGAUGACACAUCCUUCAGCUUCUGAGCAACUCCCAUGAGCUCUCCUCUGCAAUCACGUACACGUGCUUAACCUGCUCUAACAUCCUUGGGCUGGAAAAACCCGACACACUGACGAUACCUCCAAACAUCCCCAGGAUGAAUUACCGCUACAUACAUAACCUCCUGAUCACAACCAUACCGGAAAUCCAAGGCUCCAUACUUGCAUCCCUUCCGAACUCCUCUCGUCCUACACCACCGGAAAUUUUUCCGCAACCUCAACAGACACCCAAUCCGGAUGUGCUUCCAUACCACUGACACAAUUACAGUGCUCAACAACCAUAAUUGAAAUACUUUCAAUCAUCCAUUCUCACCACUAUUUUCACUUCCGUGAACCCACACUCCCUCCCGGAGUUACAUACCUUUCCCUUUCCUUAUCCAAGGAAAUAUACUUGCCAACCUUGCCACUUCAGACAAGUGCCACGGUGCUCACACCCCACUCUACACUAUCCCUUGUAGACUAACCGCUACUCCAUGCAUCACACAUGCUCUGAAUCUGUUCGCAAGGACUCUUGGGUCCAUGCACUGCCUUCCACUAACAUGAUCAAUACCCAGGGCCAGACCCACUGCUUGCUACUGCAUAGCAGCAAACUCAAAUCACUUUCCGCAUACAAUUCUAUCAACACUUACAGAGUCUUCAGCAUGACUGGACCGCCUUGCCAGGCCUUCAGCCAAUCUGGACCACUCUUAGAACCUUCAGCAUGUCUGGACCGCCCUCCAGGGCCUUUAGCCUGUCUGGACCAUUCUCUGAGCCUUCAAUCUGACUGGUACACCCACCGGCCUUCAGUCUCCCCGGACCGCUCAAACUAUCAUACAUCAUCCCAAACUAUUCCUCCUGGGAAUCUCUCCCAUACAUACUGUUCUAGCCCUCUAGGGGUUCCGAACUCUAACUCCAUUCCAUAUACUCAGAUCGUGGCCUAUUCCUAGGCCUCACAACAACCAAUCACCCUAUCCGAAAUCCUUGGUCUGUACUCCGCCCCAUCGAUUCGUCACUUACUCAUACCAGCCCACACUCUUGGCUGACUGAGACACUGCUAGAUCAUAAACAGCUAAUCAAACUCUAACGCUUAUCGAUCGUCCUGAGAAUUUUCCAAUUCUCCCCACUUAGAGCACUGACUUCCAACCACCAGUGACUCAUCCACCUUAAACCAGUCAUCCCUACUCAACAUACUCCUCUUAUCCAUGAACCGAUUUCCUUUGCAACGGGCGACCUUCACAAAAUCACUCCCCCGACAUAGUACAUCUCGAACUCUAAGGGAGUUCGACUCUCCGCUGAACCCUCCUCAAAUCUCAAUUACUAUAUCCGGCAACAAGACCAUACAACCAAAUUCUGACCAUCAAUCCCUUGGAUGAUAACCACUUACAACUCCUGACUACUAUCACUUCAACCAACCCAUGAAACACGUAGAAAGGCGAAUAAAAUACAACACCACAAAAUAACAAGAUAACCAGACAACAACGAAACGAAACCAUACUCGCAACCGUAUCCGGCUCUACCCUGACCUCCUCUGCUGUGAGCUUAAAAGUGUGCCCCUGAGCCCUCGGAGGCUCCGCUCCACCCUGGCCCCCACCAGUAGUCCUCAAAGUGGCCGAUGCUGGAACCUGCACUGACCUGGAAACUAACAGUGGACAGUUGGCCCUCAUGUGGCCAACCUGAUGGCACUGAUAACAAAUCCUCCUAUCCUAAACCGGGGCUGACUGAAGGCAAUCCCUCGCAUAAUGCCCCUCUCUCCCGCACUUGCGGCACGCACCACCGGACCUACAAACUCCGGUAUGACCCUUCCCGCACUUCUCACAAGUGCGGCCGCUCUGACUGCCCAACCUGGAAUCAACGGUCUUGGACCGUUUCGGUGCCGGCUGCGACUGUACUGGGGCCUGCCUCUGCUCUCUCAAUUGUAACUCAAUUUCCAACUCACGCCGCCGAGCGGCCUCCUGGAACUCUAGCAAAGUCUCACACCUCUACGUAGACACGAACUGCCUGAUAUCCCUCUUGAGCAUACUCAGAUAUCGGGACAUCUGAGCCUGCUCUGAAGCAAACUCAUGGCAAAACAUCGCCCUCUUCGUGAACAUCCUGGUGAUCUCCGUCACCGACUUUGAAUCCUGCUUCAGCUCCAGGAACUCUUGAUCCAACCUCUCUCUCUCUCAACCUGUGGAACAUAACGAGUACUGAACAUCUCUCAAAACUGAUCCCAUGAAACCGCAGCCCGCUGCGCAUCAUAAUAAGAUCCCGUAGUCAACCUCCACCAAUCCUUCGCCCCGAGCGUCAAAAGGUUCCGAGCACACCUCACUCUCAGAUCUGCAGGGCAUGAACACGUGAAGAAACACCCCUCUACGUCCGAAAACCACCUCAUAGCAAUGAUCGGAUCCUGAACCCCAUCAAAAGUACGGGGCUUUGUAUUAUCGAAGUCCCAAUACUGAAAACCUCGACCGGCUCCUCCACCUAUCGCGGCAGCCGUCUUUGCAAGAUCUGCAUAGCGAUCAUCAAAAUACUCAACCAUGGUGGUCUUGAUCGACCCAAACAUCUCCGACAUCUCUUCCCUAAACAUAGCAGCAAUCUCAUCAUGUAGGAUCCCACGAAUCCUGGCAUUCAACUCAUCCGUACUCAUCUGGCCAAUGACCUCGGGUGGCGCUGAUCCACCAUGACCACCCUCUCCCGAUCCCGAUCCUGACCCGAAUCCACCCCCGGCAUGCCUCGUAACCACCACACUGGAAUAUAUACUGCAAGAAAAUCAGAUGCUUCCCCAAUAACCUGGGAACUAACUCCCGACCCGACCCUAGGGGUUGUGACUUCCUUGAUACGCGUAUGGGUCCUGUGCUUUCAGUAGUACGGACCCAUACUACCUUCCACACCUACCCAUAUUUGUCUCAAGUAUCAUCACAACGCCGUAGCGAUAACAUAUAUGUGGCAACACUCAAUUCUCACCUCUAGAGGAACUGCUAACUACUUCACAUAACGGGGAACCCAAGGCUAGCAAGCAUCAUAUAAUCAGGCAAUUCUAUCAUGCAAUUCUUGAAGAUCCUUAGCCUAGUACUAUCAUGUGGUUCUAACAUAUCACAUAAGCAAAUAACUUGUAUGGUAUUUUGGGGUCUACUUACUGGCUCUUGCUGAUCGUACCUCCGCAUCCUCCUCUACUUAUUUUUGAAAACCAUUUCAAUUUCACUUUGAAAACUCUCCUUGAUUUGAGACUGGAUUCACACGAAUGUUCCUCCAAUUCACUCAAACCAAGGCUCUGAUACCAACUUGUAACACCGUGAAAAUUUACAGCCAAUUUAAACUUUUCAAAAACAACCCAUAUUCAUUAAGUUAUUACAAAAGGUUUUCAGUUCAUUUAUUAUCAGAGUAUCCCAGAAACAUCAACAUAAAACUGAGGAGCGGUACGAUCACGCCUUCUCCUUGCCACGGUCUCCUGAAGUACCUGAAACAAUACAUUGAAACUGUAAGCCCGAAAGCUUAGUGAGGUACCCCCAAAAUACCAACCACAAUACUAUACACAUAUCAUAUCAUAUCAUAAACUGAACAACCAUGCAUAUCGAGUCUACAGUGUGACUG
Molecule: long non-coding RNA, 6101 nt
Filed under: Lactuca sativa (garden lettuce)
Lineage: Eukaryota; Viridiplantae; Streptophyta; Magnoliopsida; Asterales; Asteraceae
Description: long non-coding RNA (LSAT_LNC003270)
Source: RNAcentral